GAAUUUAUAGAUUUAUUUUUAUUAAAAAUUUAUUUUUUAUUAAUUAAAAUAUUUAAUUUUUUAUUAUUUAUUAGAAAAAAUUUAUUUUAUUAUAGUUUAAAGUAUUGAGAAAGAAAUUUAUUAAAUAAAUGAAAGAAGAAUUUAAUUUUUGUACCUUGUGUAUCAGGGUUAAUUAAAAAAUAUUUUUAUAUAAAAUUUUCUCGAAUUUAAAAGAGCUAAUUAAUAAUAAAUUUUAUUGUAAAAUAAAUAUUUAUAAUUAUUAAUUAGAAAUGAAAUGUUAUUCGUUUUUAAAUAUAUCUAGUUUUUAAAGAAAUGAAUUUAAUUCAUUUAUUAGAAAUUAAAAUUUUAAAUUUUUAAUUUUUUAUUUCUAAUAAAAAAUUUUUUUAGGGAUAAGCUUAAAAAAAUAUUUUUAUAAUAUAUUUAUAUUUUAAUAAUUUUUAGGAUUAAAAAUUUCUAUUAAUAUAAAAUUGUUAUAAUUAAUUAUUAGAUUAAUAUUAUUUAUAUUUUAUUUAAAUAUUAUAUUUAAAUAUAAAUUUUAAUAUAAAAAAUUUAGUAAUAAUGAUUAAAUUAGUAUAGGAUAAAUAUUAAUUUUAAAUUUAAGUUUAAAAUUAAGGUUAAUUUAAGGAAUUCGGCAAAAAUAUUUUUCACCUGUUUAAUAAAAACAUGUCCUUUUGAUUAUAAUUUAAGGUCUAAUCUGCCCACUGAUUAAUUAAAUGGCCGCGGUAUUUUGACCGUGCAAAGGUAGCAUAAUAAUUAGUUUCUUAAUUAGAAGCUGGAAUGAAUGAUUGGAUGAGAAAAUAACUGUCUUAAUUUAAUUUUUUUAGAAUUUUAUUUUUAAGUUAAAAAGCUUAAAUUUUAUUAAAAGACGAGAAGACCCUAUAGAGUUUAAUUUUAAGUAUAAAUAUUUAAUUAUUGAUUAUGAUUUUUUUAUUUAUUUUUAAAAUUUUGUUGGGGUGAUAGAAAAAUUUUAUUAACUUUUUUUAUAUU
Molecule: ribosomal RNA, 987 nt
Filed under: Zenithicola crassus
Lineage: Eukaryota; Metazoa; Arthropoda; Insecta; Coleoptera; Cleridae
Description: partial 16S ribosomal RNA
Source: RNAcentral